UACGGGGGGGGCAAGCGUUGUUCGGAAUUACUGGGCGUAAAGGGCUCGUAGGCGGCCAACUAAGUCGGAUGUGAAAUCCCCAGGCUUAACCUGGGAACUGCAUCCGAUACUGGAUGGCUUGAAUCCGGGAGAGGGAUGCAGAAUUCCUGGUGUAGCGGUGAAAUGCGCAGAUAUCAGGAGGAACACCAAUUGCGAAGGCAGCUCGCUGGGACGUUACUGACGCUGAGACGCGAAAGCGUGGGGAGCAAACAGG
Molecule: ribosomal RNA, 253 nt
Filed under: uncultured bacterium
Lineage: Bacteria
Description: partial 16S ribosomal RNA
Rfam family: Bacterial small subunit ribosomal RNA
Source: RNAcentral